Molecule: ribosomal RNA, 253 nt
Filed under: uncultured bacterium
Lineage: Bacteria
Description: partial 16S ribosomal RNA
Rfam family: Bacterial small subunit ribosomal RNA
Source: RNAcentral
UACGUAGGGCGCAAGCGUUGUCCGGAAUUAUUGGGCGUAAAGAGCUCGUAGGCGGUUUGUCGCGUCUGCUGUGAAAACCCGAGGCUCAACCUCGGGCCUGCAGUGGGUACGGGCAGACUAGAGUGUGGUAGGGGAGACUGGAAUUCCUGGUGUAGCGGUGGAAUGCGCAGAUAUCAGGAGGAACACCAAUGGCGAAGGCAGGUCUCUGGGCCACAACUGACGCUGAGGAGCGAAAGCCAGGGGAGCAAACGGG